Molecule: ribosomal RNA, 429 nt
Filed under: Bacteroidota bacterium
Lineage: Bacteria; Pseudomonadati; Bacteroidota
Description: Bacteroidetes bacterium partial 16S ribosomal RNA
Rfam family: Bacterial small subunit ribosomal RNA
Source: RNAcentral
UAGGGAAUCUUCGGCAAUGGGGGGAACCCUGACCGAGCAACGCCGCGUGAGUGAAGAAGGUUUUCGGAUCGUAAAGCCCUGUUGUUAAGGAAGAACGAGUGUGAGAAUGGAAAGUUCAUACUGUGACGGUACUUAACCAGAAAGGGACGGCUAACUACGUGCCAGCAGCCGCGGUACUACGUAGGUCCCGAGCGUCGUCCGGAUUUAUUGGGCGUAAAGCGAGCGCAGGCGGUUAGAUAAGUCUGAAGUUAAAGGCAGUGGCUCAACCAUUGUAGGCUUUGGAAACUGUUUAACUUGAGUGCAGAAGGGGAGAGUGGAAUUCCAUGUGUAGCGGUGAAAUGCGUAGAUAUAUGGAGGAACACCGGUGGCGAAAGCGGCUCUCUGGUCUGUAACUGACGCUGAGGCUCGAAAGCGUGGGGAGCGAACAGG